Astyanax mexicanus (Mexican tetra) is the source of this 8464-nucleotide long non-coding RNA. RefSeq lists it as uncharacterized. The record is from RefSeq and is a predicted model, not a curated record. The transcript has 2 exons. NCBI's taxonomy places the organism in Eukaryota, Metazoa, Chordata, Actinopteri, Characiformes, Acestrorhamphidae.
CAUAAAUCAAUAUUUGGUGGAAUAACCCUGUUGGUUUUUAAUCACAGUUUUCAUGCAUCUUGGCAUCAUGUUCUCCUCCACCAGCCUUACACACUGCUUUUGGAUAACUUUAUGCUUUACACUCCUGGUGCAAAAUUUCAAGCAGUUCAGUUUGGUUUGAUGGCUUGUGAUCAUCCAUCUUCCUCUUGAUUAUAUUCCAGAGGUUUUCAAUUUGGUAAAAUCAAAAAAACAUAUAAUUUUACACGUUACACCUCUAGUAGCUACUCUUGAACUCAUUGUGGGCAGAGCUUGUGUACAGGUUGAUUCUAGGUUGGGUGACCAAUGUGAUCCAUGCGGUUUAUUGUUUAUUGCUUGUACAGAUUCAGCAUUGUGCUUUUACUUUAUGAACAAAUGUAUUGCAUUCUCUAACUGUCCACUAGGUGGCGCCGUAUCUGUUCUUGAGCUCUCAUUAAGUUUACAGUAAUUCUUUUCUUUCUGUUUUUCUGUUUGUCAGUCAGGAAUGUUCACCGUAUUUGUGCUUUUCAGAGAACGGUUUCAGGUCUGUGCUGGACGUGCUUCGCUAAUCGUUCUUACGACAAAAUUCCUUCGUAAAAACCUACUUACGCAGUUUUUUUUUUUUUUUUGGAAUUUUUUUUCUUAUUUGGAAUUUGAUCAGUUUGGGGAAACAGUGAAAUACAUCACAAUUCUGUGCUUUAAAAAUGCCUUGUGUUCGUUAGGACUUCGUAAAAAGUUCGUAAGAAGAUAUGACCUCCUUUAAUAAGUGUCUAAAGUGAAGAUAUAAUCCCAGAUCAACUAUGCAGGUGUAUUGUAUUCUUAUGGAGACUAUAAUUAUAUAAAUCCUUUAUAAUCCUGUAUAUUCGGUUAUACCCUUUAAACUACCUUAUAUUUACACUGCAUUUAAUUUGUAUUUAGUGUAUUACAUCCUUUUUACAGUUUAUUUAAAGGGUAUCUAAAUAAGGGGCUUCAUAAAACAUUAAUAAACAUUGAAUAGCCCAUUUCUGAAGCAUUAUUUAUGUAUUAAUGAAGAGCUUAUGCCAUUACACGCAACAUAAAAUAAGACUUAAGUAAUCUAUAGUAUAAACUAAAUGAAAAUGUAUUCAUAAAACAUAAGCAUAAGUGUUGCAUAUUAUAUUAAUAAAGCUUUAUAAAUAGGGUUUAUAAGAGAGAACAUUUAAUUGAUCUUAUUUAAUGCAUAAAAGAACAUUUUCCAAUACAUAACAUACUGUUUACUGAAUUGUGCUUAAAGCAGAAAUUGUUAUAUAUAGAAAAAUAGCAUAAUCAAGGCAUAAAUAUCCAAUUAUUGCUUUAAAAAUACAUUAUUUUUUAAUGUUUAUCAAUGUGUUUUGAAGCUUCUAUGUAGGUAGCCUUCAAACAAAAUGUAAGCAGAUUAUUGGUCAGUACUUUUCUUCCAUUUUUUUUUUGAAAAUUUGCAUACUUUACAACCAAAAUCUAGGAUUUCAAAGGCUUUUCUGCUUUCUGAAGUGUAGGCCAAACUCACUUUAUUGUGUAAGGAAUAGAAUUAAGUAGAAAUGUUAAGAUCUGGUAAAUUUGAGAUGUAUCAAUGUUUUGGCAACCAAAAUUAUUUAGCUAAAAAAAUAGCCAAAAAAUCACUUUUAUUUGUUAUGAUAAUUUAUACUGCAUAAUGACUAAAACAUUUAAAGCCAGAUUACGAUUUUCCUUUCUCUUUGAAAAGCAAGGCAAACAUCAAUUGAGGCGUUUUAGUUCAUUUAAUGGUGAAAAAAGUGAAAAAUAGUGAAAAUCUGCAAAAACAACCUGUUCACUAUUUAAUAUUCAGCGUUCAGCCAGAUGUUUCAUUUUGUUAGUUUCGGUUUCAACCAAAAAUCUUCAUUUUGAUGCAUCUGUGCUGCUGAUGUCUCUAUAUUAUGCCGGAUUGUUCUGCAUUGAAUUUUUUUUUUUAUAUUUGAUGGCAAACUCCUUCUUUACUUUAUGUCCAAAUGUUGUGAAGAAUGGUACAGUAGAAAUGCUUUAAAAUGACUUAAAAUCAAUUGUUUUUCUUGUUUUUUUUUUUGUUUUUUUUGUUUGUUUUUUGUUUUGUUUAGUUUUACCCCACAGUUUAGUGACUUGGAUCUAUGUGGGUUGAGUUUUCCUAUACUUCACACUGAUUGGUUGUUUUGUAGAAUGUUGGUAAUUGUGCAACUUGCCUUUUUUUUUUUUUUUUUUGUGAAUUCUGAAUUCUGCCUAUAAUGCAGCAGUAUGGGUAGGGUGGGAGAUAUGACCCUAAAAUAGUAUCACGAUAUUUUAUGGGAUUUUUGCCAUAACGAUAUACUUGGCGAUAUGAGAAAACACUGAAUUUAAAAAUAUAUAUUUCAAGAAAUCACUACUGCAAUAAACUGAAAACUAAAUUUUAUUACUAAGAUAUUAAAAAAUACAAGAAUUUUAUAAGAUUUGUAACAGAAGUCAAUGAUCCAGAAUGUCAUAAUACUAAUAAUAUUAAUAAAGCACUCCAAAUAUCUCCAUAUAUCCAGAACUAAAUUAAAAUAAAUUAUGAUACUGGAAAGAUAUAAUCUCUAUAGUCUCUAGUAGAUAUACAGUAUAAUACAGUAUGAAUGGUUCUUGCUAAAAACAGUAAAAAAAAAAAAAAAAAAAAGUAGUACCCUGAUGUGAUAAUUAGGGGUGGGUAAUAUGGCACCAUAUUUCAGGGUAUAUAUUAAAAAAUGUUGGCGAUAUUAUUAUUCUGUAUCUACUGUAACUGUAGAUUAAUCUGGGGGACAUCUGUUACACUCAUUCUGCUGGAAGUCAGAAUUCGGCACGACACCUGUACUACUACUACUUCUUCUUCUUCUUCUAUUGUUUAACAGUUGAGCAUGGUAGCCUACCGUACCUUCCUGUAAUUGGUCUGAAAGCUUAAACCAUCUAGAACAAGGCAUUCACACUGCAGAUGAUCCAAACCAUUUUCACACCUGCAGUUGGUUUCUAUGGUCCGUAUCAGUUGACAAGUUAUUUAGAGCGUUUCUCCCUCUGUUUGGUUUGUUUUCACACAGGCAAAAACCUAAACGCAGCAAAAUGUGCACCAAUAAACCAUGUGAGCACAUUGUCCCCUCAUUUAAACAAAGUGUAUUUGAUAGCUGGGUUGGAUUGAGACCGGAUUACGUUCUCACUAUAGCAGGUCUCGGCCCUAUUAUUUUGAUCCGCAUCCGAUUGCGAAUACUGUUUUCACACCUGCUUAGUCAAACCACACUAAUGGUACAAACGAACCAGAGUCCGUUUUAACUGGACAAAGGCCACCUCGUCUGAUUGGACCAAAUUUUGGCCCUUUGGAGCUUGGCUUAAGGUACCACACCCUUCUAGAGCCUGCAUCAGCACUCUGGUGCUCCAUAUUGCGAGUACUUUAGUUUAGUGCGUCGGCCAGGCGUUGGGUUGCAGCACCAAACGUUAAAGAUUUAGCCUCCCAUUAAGGUAGUGAGGUGACCCAGGUCAGUCCUGGUAAAAGGAGCUGGGUGGAAACCUUGCGAAGCUGUGAAGUGCGCAGGCUGUUCCAGGUAAAGCGAUAUCUUGAAGGAUAAUCUCAUUGUCAGCUUUCUUUUUUUUGUCACCUCAAAUGGCAUUCGUUUCUGUUUUAGAGCUGUCUGAAUACUGUACACUGUCAACAGUAACAGUAUACGUUUCUUGAGGAACUUUUAGAGCUUUUUUCAUUUGAAACUGUGGAGGAAUCUCUUUUUAGAAAGUGUUUUUCUUGUAAAAGCUUAUUUUGAAGGUUCUUUUAUUGUUUAAAACCAGUAAGGAAUUUUAAAGUGAUGCUUUUAACCAAGUCUCAGAGCACAUUCAGGAUGAACUCUUGCUACAGUGCUGGUUUUCCCCAUUGCUUUUCCUCUUCAAAUGCUUUUUAACCAGAGUGUGAGAUGCCUCGUGCUGUUCAGAGAUUUGCCAAGACUGUUAACACAUAAUACCUGUGGUUUUGCAUGGUAGAGUCUCAGAAAUGUGUUUUUCACUUGCGCAUUGAGCUCUAGUGAUGGCUAUGUGAUCUCCUAAGCUCUGCUCUGGCACAGCGAGGUACUGUUACACAUAUCUGAGAUUCACAGGAAGUAACGGUGGCUUGUUUACAGAUUGGGUUCGAGUUGUGCCUGUUGAGAGUCUUGUGUUGGAAAAGCAUUGGUGUGUAACAGGAGAGGAAAGGGCAGCAGUUUAGAUCUGGGUGAUGUGAACCAAGAUGAGGUAAUUGAGGUUGCACAAUGGUGGUUAUGGUUAAAGUUUUUGGGGUAAGCACCCGAAAAUCCCUUUCAGACAGCUUCCUCUUACAGCUUCCACAGUUAAUCCUGUUGGAUGUGGUUGGUUCUUCUUGGUGGUAUGCUGACAUUACCCUGGAUACCGUGGCUCUUGAUACAUCACAAAGACUUGCUGUCUUGGUCACAGAUGCUCCAGCAAGACGUGCACCAACAAUUUGUCCUCUUUUGAACUCUGGUAUGUCACCCAUAAUGUUGUGUGCAUUGCAACAUUUUGAGCAGAACUGUGCUCUUACCCUGCUAAUUGAACCUUCACACUCUGCUCUUACUGGUGCAAUGUGCAAUUAAUGAAGAUUGAACACCAGGCUGCUCCAAUUUAGCCAUGAUGAAAACUCCCACACUAAAAUGACAGGUGUUUCAGUUUCAUUGUCCAACCCCUGUACUUUGCUUUAAUUGAUAUAUUGUAUAUAAAUUGUUCUAUGGCCACAUAAUGGGCUCUCCAUGCUAACAAAAUACAUUUUUAAAUCAAUUUGACAUUUAAAAAUUUUGACUUAAUUUUGUCCAUUUGGCAUUUGGUUUCCUAAAGAGUUUCCAUCAGUUUUUUUCCAAAUUUUAAUUUUAGUCAAAUAAGCAAAAAAAAGGAAUUUUCUUUGAUUUUUCCUUUUUUUUUUUCUCUUUUUUUUUUUUAUAAACAAAAGUAGGUUGGAUUAUAGCGCUAGGUUUUCUGAACUUUUAACAUUUAACACCCAGAAGUACUUUAUAGGCAAGUCAGUCCUCUCAAUGGCUGUGUUUGCAGUGCCAAUAGGCAGUUAUCUAAAAUCAGAUAAGAUCAGUUGCUUAUCUCUUUGAAUGGAAGACACCAAAGUUUGCAAAACUGAAGAUCAAAUUAGUAUUUUAACAUGUUUAAAAUCUGACAAAACCUUCUUAAAUCGUUAGUAGUAUUUGACUCUAUAAUGUUAUGGCUGCUGCGGUUGCGCAGAUCUCCUUAUCUCUGCCACACCAAGCAAACUGGUUGGCUCUUUUAGAAACUUUAGACAACUGAAGCAUCAGGGAGAUGUUCCAUGAUUGUUUAAAAAAAAAAGGCCUUUAUUGAGCAUUUGCCAUAUGUUGCUCUUUCUCUUCAUAUCGUCCUAAAUAAGUGCCGCUUUUAUUUUUAUGUUUUGGUUCAUUUUGCUUUAUGGUUGCUGGAAUCUGGUGGAAUGUUAAUUCUAGUCCAUUCACAUCGUUUACAUUCAUUACAGCUUUAGGAAAAUCUGGAGCUCAAGCAGUUUAAUGUUCAAGAUUUGACUAGAAGGCCUUGUUUGGAAGCUGGUUUCUCUUUAAGCUUUAUUUUAAUGCAGCUUUUUGACCUUUUUGGCAUUUUUUGGUGGGGUUACAACCCUUCAAAACACGUGGAGAACACUGUUGAGCUUCAGGGUUUAGAGGAACACUUGGUCUUAAGUUGGACUAAAACCUAUUGGUUUCUGUUGGUUUCUAAAGUGAGUUGUGUCCAUACUAAUCAUCUGCAUGCUAAAGAUUAGCCUGUAACGACUACCUGGCUGGAAUCUUCCUGAAAUCUCCAACAAUGGCUCUGUCUGUGUAUAUUAAUAACUAGAAUGCAUGCUAAUGAUACAGUAUAACACCCAGGCUUUGAACCUGAAACAGAACAAUAUACCGACUGUAACACCUGAGGCCUUUUAUAUUAGUGUAGAUUGAACAAUAGUAGUAAGAUAACUGGGCACGUUCAGACGAGACCACAUCGUAAACCAUCGUCUUUUCUACGUCUAUCUGUUUGUACGCUGACGUUUCUCAAUCUAUGUAGAGCUGUUUUCACACUGAACGCUUGGUAUGUCUUAGCCUCAGCGCUAAUGUGCUAGCGAGGAAUGCUAACUGACACCCAUAAGUCCUUAUAGGAGUCCUUAUAGUUCACUCACAGUUAUCUAAAAUCAAAAACAAAAGGGCAGGACUUUAUCCUAUUAAGCAUUUAGAGAACUUUUUAUUCACAUUUCUUCCAGUGGCUUGUCCCCUCAUUAAUAUCGUCUCUAACGGUGAUGGUUCAAAUCCUGCUUAUGCAGCUUGCCAUCUUCUGCUGGAGCCCUGAGAGAGCACAGUUGGCCUUGCUCUCUCUGGGUGGCGCUCUUUGCUCUCAUCACUCCUAGGGUGAUGUGGAUCAGCACAAGGCUGCGUCUGUGAGAUGAUGUAUCAGAACAGAGUCGCUGCGCUUUCCUCCGAGUGUGCUGUGAUGCUUCUCAGCAGUUCAAAAAGAAAGAGGCGGAGUCUGACUUCACAUGUGUUGAAGGAGGCAUGUGCUUGCCUUCACUCUGUGUUGUAGAAUCACUAGUGAUGGGGUAUAUAGAGCUAAGCUGAACUGGUGGGACAUUGGCCUAGCUAAAUUGGGGACAAAAACAGAGAGAUACUUAGAAAUUAAUCUUUAAAACAUUAAAUAAAUCGUGUCUAACAACUUUGCAAACUGAUUUAAUACAUGUUUAAUACCACAUGUUUGGAAAAAUAAAACCCCAGAUAAAAACUUUUCCAUAUUUAUAAUCUUAAAGGGACCUUCCAGCCACACCUACUGCUCAUGCUUCUCAUGCUUCUUACUUCAUCAGCAGCCAAAGUCCGAGAGAGAGAGAACAGUUUCUCAUGCAACGAUUACAAGUUUGAAUCCCAAAUUUUAGUCAUGCUUCUACUCCAUCAGCAGCCGGAGUCAGAGAGAGAGUGAGAGAAAACACAGUUUAUCAUGCAACGAUUACAUGUUUGAAUCCUAAAUUUUAGUCAUGCUUCUACUCCAUCAGCAGCCAAAGUCCGAGAGAGAGAGAACAGUUUAUCAUGCAACGAUUACAUGUUUGAAUCCUAAAUUUUAGUCAUGCUUCUACUCCAUCAGCAGCCGGAGUCCGAGAGAGACAAAGAAAACAGUUUCUCAUGCAACGAUAACAAGUUUGAAUCCCAAAUUUUAGUCAUGCUUCUACUCCAUCAGCAGCCGGAGUCAGAGAGAGAGUGAGAGAAAACACAGUUUAUCAUGCAACGAUUACAAGUUUGAAUCCUAAAUUUAAGUCAUGCUUCUAGUGCAUCAGCAGCCGGAGUCCGAGAGAGAGAGAGAGAGAGAGAGAGAGAGAGAGAGCCCACAGUUUAUCAUGCCAAUCACUCCUUGUGUGAUGCUGGUCAGCACAGGCAUCUAUCUGUUAUCUGAUAAAUCACCUUUGUGUUUUGUGAUGCUAACUAAUAAAUCUGCUAUUGCUAUUGGUCGCAGUUAGAAAAGAGGCGGGAUCUGACUUCACAUGUAUCGGAGGAGGCAUGCGCUUGUCCAUUUAGAUCUUUAAAAAAAAUCAGUGUCUGAAAAUACUGUUACUUCGUGCGUUCAGUGUGAAAGCAGCUGAAGGCUGACUCCUACCGCCAUGUCUGUGAACUUUUUUUUUUUUUUUUUUUUACACGUCCAGCAACUUGAGCACUUUUAAGAUCGUACCUUUAAAGUCUUAUUUACGUACUAUAUAAAUAUAUAUAAGCAAUAACUCAAAGCGGUUAAAGGUACAGCGAGGAAUGUUGUUUUUUUCGCUUGUAGAUUGUUAGUAGUGUUUUCAGAUCAUGAGCCUUUGCUUCUAACCAGCAGAUACCGAUGAAAAUUUUAUUAUUGUAAUAUUCUGUCAGAUUAUAUAUAUUGUACCUUUAAUCUUGGGUGUUUAAAUGUUGUAAGGAAAGCAGCUUCAGGGGAAGCUUUACAUUUUGUUUCGUUUUGUUUGAUUUUUGUUUGCAUAAGGAAGUAGAGAGAUGGGGUCCAGUCACUGGCCAGUACUGACUGAAACGUCCAAAGAAAAUAUAUAUAUAUAUAUAAAAAAAAAAAACACGAAACGGGUCAUUUAUCUGGCGGCGUAAGCUCUGAAGCUCUGGCACAUUUCUGUCCUGUAUUUUAUGGUGUGUUGUCAAAUCCGUUGCUUUAUGAUCCAAAAGCAAAAACAGUACGUAUGUAUAUCAUUGCCUUUUCUUUUUCUUUCUGUUGAUUUCAGAACUAAUCCAUUGUUUUAAGAGGACGAUUCAUGCAAAGGUAUUUGCAAUAAAAACUAUUUUAUAUACAAGCGAAUGGUAAAGGGGGGAAUCUAUAUAUUAUGAGAAUCUAAAAAUGCUAUAUAUGGUUUAUUUAAAGACAAAAAAAAAAGUUAAAUAAAUGAACACUACAGACAUGUCUGCUGUAUCGAUCAGAGCUUCAGCAUUCCCAUACAUGCACACUUCCAAAGUGAUUUGGAACUGCAUACUGUUGUAGAAUACAGUGGAGAAUAAAAUAAACGAAUAAAGUUUUCACUGAGGAAACUGUG